UAAUCCGCCCGCCUCGGCCUCCCAAAGUGCUUGGAUUACGUGCAUGAGCCACCGUGACCAGCUGACCAUCUCUCAUUAUUAAUAAGAACAUCACAGACAGGAUUCCACAUAUUUAUAAAAUUUCAUGUUAUCUCAAAGGUGGAGCUCCGGUUUCUUGCUGAGCCAGGAAUCACCUAUUACUAUCUGAUUUGCGGGGGACACAAAGAAGGAGGAAAAAUCACCAGGGUGAAGGAAGGCAUGAAGAGAAGACUUUUUCAGAAAAAAAGUAUUCCUGACAUUUAUUCUUUUCUUAAAUCCUCUAUCCUCUUGGACCCUGAAGACAUCGUCAGCAUUUGGAUUUUAUUCAUGACAGAUACAUGUCUCUUUAAAAAGUGUGGAUUUAUCUCCUGAAUAUUAGUUUCUCAAUGAUUUAUCCACCACAUUUUCAUAACUUGUGUGAGGGAUCAGUACCACCUUCCAGCGGUAGAUCUUAUUUUUGCCGCUCAAUUUUUGCUCUGUUCUCUUUCUAGUAAGGGCUUUAUCCUGAAUCAUUUAUUGACAUGCGGCCUAUAGAGACCUCCUUAAAGAGGUACUACAUUAUUGUCCCAUUGAUUUAGGGCCUGGCCACAUUUCAAGCUUUAGCCAAUGGAAUGUGAGGGAAUAUAGCGUAUAGAAACAUCUGAGAAGAAAAAGAAAAACUUCAGAAGGCAUCAAGUGUUUCUGACAGGUCUGUCUUGCUAGAUGUCCCAAAUAAGGACCACUUCUUGAAGAGGCUGGAAUCUGGUGUGAGAAGACAAGGGGAACAGAGCCACAGAAGUUGAUCCACAGCCAUGGAUAUCUGUCUGGAACAAUAAAUCAAUGUCAGUUGUAGCCACUGUCAUUUGGGGGGUUGUUUGUUAUUAAUAAAGCCAACUAAUAAAAUUCAUAACUAGAUUAGAAAACAAUCAAGAUGAAACAUUUUAACAAAAAAUUUGAAUUGCAAAUUUGAAUGCAUCUUAAAUGACGUCGAGUAAAAAAGUUUGCCGCUUGAACAGAAAUAAAAAUUUUAAAUUUAUUAAAAUUCACAUUAAUAAAAAAUAAGAAUACUCUGCA
RNAcentral lists this long non-coding RNA (1071 nucleotides) under Homo sapiens (human). RNAcentral's name for it is "HSALNT0092072". Lineage: Eukaryota; Metazoa; Chordata; Mammalia; Primates; Hominidae. The record is from RNAcentral.